Molecule: transfer RNA, 83 nt
Filed under: Cellulophaga phage Calle_2
Lineage: Duplodnaviria; Heunggongvirae; Uroviricota; Caudoviricetes; Pervagoviridae
Also listed under: 1 other name
Description: tRNA-OTHER
Source: RNAcentral
ACCGGAGUGAGUAAAAAAGAGAAUGGUAGAUCAUUGGGUUUUAGAAACCUAGACUUUUGAGGGUUCGAAUCCCUCUUCCGGUA